Molecule: long non-coding RNA, 454 nt
Filed under: Phoenix dactylifera (date palm)
Lineage: Eukaryota; Viridiplantae; Streptophyta; Magnoliopsida; Arecales; Arecaceae
Description: long non-coding RNA (PDAC_LNC017581)
Source: RNAcentral
AGUACAAGAAGACGGGAACAAGAAGGAACUACUCAAGAGAGGACAGAGAAGGCUUAGGAAAAGGAAAUGCAGCAGGGAUUGAGGAAUGUAGGUUUUGGUUUUAAGUUUGCAACUCAAGAACAAGAACCUUUUGGUUUUUGAGUUUGUUAAUUUUAUCCAUCCUGUUCUUUAUUUGUUCUUUCAUCUUUUUGUUCCGUUUUACUCUGCCCUGUCCACGUACUUUUAUGCAUGGUUUGUGAAAAAUCAGUAUAGUUGUGCUGGGAAAUGUCUUUGUGGCUUGUGCUUGUUCGCAGCCGUGUAUGAGUGGAGGUGUUAAAUUUUGCAGGAUCAGGCUUCAACAUGACAUCUUGUUUAAUUCGUUGUGCUCAAGUAACCUUACAUGGGGAAACUGUUGGAAAUUCUCUCUCUUAAUUUGAUAUUGGUAUUUUAUAUUGAUUAUUUAAUAAAUAGCUUU